Molecule: ribosomal RNA, 1450 nt
Filed under: metagenome
Description: bacterial SSU rRNA
Rfam family: Bacterial small subunit ribosomal RNA
Source: RNAcentral
AGAGUUUGAUCCUGGCUCAGAACGAACGCUGGCGGCGUGCCUCAUACAUGCAAGUCAUGCGAGAAAGCCAGCUUCGGUUGGUGAGUAAAGCGGCGAACGGGUGCGUAACACGUGAGUAAUCUGCCCUAGGGUGGGGGAUAAGCUCCCGAAAGGGGGUCUAAUACCGCAUAACAUUUUCUGAUAGCAUUUUUGGGAAAUCAAAGAUGGCCUCUAUUUAUAAGCUAUCACCAUAGGAUGAGCUCGCGCUCCAUUAGCCUGUUGGUAGGGUAACGGCCUACCAAAGCUACGAUGGAUAGCCGGCCUGAGAGGGUGAACGGCCACACUGGGACUGAGAUACGGCCCAGACUCCUACGGGAGGCAGCAGUAGGGAAUAUUGCGCAAUGGACGAAAGUCUGACGCAGCAACGCCGCGUGUGGGAUGAAGCUUCUUGGAGUGUAAACCACUGUCGGGAGGGACGAAUGAUUAUGGCUCUAAUAUAGUUAUAGUUUGACGGUACCUUCAAAGGAAGCUCCGGCUAACUCCGUGCCAGCAGCCGCGGUAAUACGGGGGGAGCAAGCGUUGUUCGGAAUCACUGGGCGUAAAGGGUGCGCAGGCGGGAGAUUAAGUCGGAUGUGAAAUCCUCGGGCUCAACCCGAGGCCUGCAUUUGAAACUGAUCUUCUUGAGUAUCGGAGAGGAAAGCGGAACUCCAGGUGUAGCGGUGAAAUGCGUAGAUAUCUGGAGGAACACCUGUGGCGAAGGCGGCUUUCUGGCCGAAUACUGACGCUCAUGCACGAAGGCUAGGGGAGCAAACAGGAUUAGAUACCCUGGUAGUCCUAGCGGUAAACGAUGGGCACUAGGUGUCGGGGGUAUCGACCCCCUCGGUGCCGCAGCUAACGCAUUAAGUGCCCCGCCUGGGGAGUACGGCCGCAAGGCUGAAACUCAAAGGAAUUGACGGGGGCCCGCACAAGCAGUGGAGUAUGUGGUUUAAUUCGAUGCAACGCGAAGAACCUUACCUGGGUUUGACAUGCAUAGGAAAGCUUCAGAGAUGGAGUUCCUCCGCAAGGAGUCUAUGCACAGGUGCUGCAUGGCUGUCGUCAGCUCGUGCCGUGAGGUGUUGGGUUAAGUCCCGCAACGAGCGCAACCCCUGUUCCUAGUUGCCAACGUAAAGUCGGGAACUCUAGGAAGACAGCCGGUGAUAAGCUGGAGGAAGGUGGGGAUGACGUCAAGUCCUCAUGGCCCUUACGCCCAGGGCUACACACGUACUACAAUGACCGGUACAUAGGGUCGCAAGACCGCGAGGUGGAGCCAAUCCUCAAAACCGGCCUCAGUUCAGAUUGGAGUCUGCAACUCGACUCCAUGAAGGUGGAAUUGCUAGUAAUCGCGGAUCAGCAGGUCGCGGUGAAUACGUUCCCGGGCCUUGUACACACCGCCCGUCAAGCCAUGGAAGCCGGGAGUACCCGAAGUCACUUU